Long non-coding RNA from Saccostrea echinata, 145 nucleotides. RefSeq lists it as uncharacterized. The transcript has 2 exons. NCBI's taxonomy places the organism in Eukaryota, Metazoa, Mollusca, Bivalvia, Ostreida, Ostreidae. The record is from RefSeq and is a predicted model, not a curated record.
ACCACAGUGUGACGGAAGCGGAAUUUGCUGCAUUUUUAUCAGCGGUCCAUCCUAACAGUAAUGGAGGUGGUGUAGUGGGGUGACAAAUACAUAUAUCGAGCACGGAGUUCUGAAAGAUCAUUGAAUAAAAAGAUUUUAAAAUAUA